This 465-nucleotide ribosomal RNA is filed under the name Vreelandella stevensii. Its description in RNAcentral is "partial 16S ribosomal RNA". It matches the Rfam family "Bacterial small subunit ribosomal RNA", at positions 338 to 795 of the family's 1533-position model. Lineage: Bacteria; Pseudomonadati; Pseudomonadota; Gammaproteobacteria; Oceanospirillales; Halomonadaceae. The record is from RNAcentral.
CCUACGGGGUGCAGCAGUGGGGAAUAUUGGACAAUGGGCGAAAGCCUGAUCCAGCCAUGCCGCGUGUGUGAAGAAGGCCUUCGGGUUGUAAAGCACUUUCAGUGGGGAAGAAAGCCUUGGGGCUAAUACCCUCGAGGAAGGACAUCACCCACAGAAGAAGCACCGGCUAACUCCGUGCCAGCAGCCGCGGUAAUACGGAGGGUGCGAGCGUUAAUCGGAAUUACUGGGCGUAAAGCGCGCGUAGGCGGUCUGAUAAGCCGGUUGUGAAAGCCCCGGGCUCAACCUGGGAACGGCAUCCGGAACUGUCAGGCUAGAGUGCAGGAGAGGAAGGUAGAAUUCCCGGUGUAGCGGUGAAAUGCGUAGAGAUCGGGAGGAAUACCAGUGGCGAAGGCAGCCUUCUGGACUGACACUGACGCUGAGGUGCGAAAGCGUGGGUAGCAAACAGGAUUAGAUACCCGGGUAGUC